GACGAACGCUGGCGGCGUGCUUAACACAUGCAAGUCGAACGAUGACGACCGAGCUUGCUCGGUCUGAUUAGUGGCGAACGGGUGAGUAACACGUGAGCAACCUGCCCUUCACUCUGGGAUAACCUCGGGAAAUCGGGGCUAAUACCGGAUAUGAGCUCCUGUCGCAUGGCGGGUGUUGGAAAGUUUUUCGGUGAAGGAUGGGCUCGCGGCCUAUCAGUUUGUUGGUGAGGUAGUGGCUCACCAAGGCGAUGACGGGUAGCCGGCCUGAGAGGGCGACCGGCCAAACGGGAACGGGGAAACGGCCCAGACCCAUAGGGGGGGAAGCGGGGGGGAAAUUUGCACAAGGGGCGAAAGCCUGAGGCAGGGACGCGGGGGGGGGGAUGAGGGCCUUGGGGUUGAAACCCUCUUUCGGCAGGAAAGAGGCGAAAGGGACGGUACCGGCAGAAGAAGCGGCGGCUAACUACGU
This 466-nucleotide ribosomal RNA is filed under the name uncultured bacterium. Its description in RNAcentral is "partial 16S ribosomal RNA". It matches the Rfam family "Bacterial small subunit ribosomal RNA", at positions 28 to 506 of the family's 1533-position model. The record is from RNAcentral.